This 367-nucleotide ribosomal RNA is filed under the name uncultured eukaryote. Its description in RNAcentral is "SSU rRNA". It matches the Rfam family "Eukaryotic small subunit ribosomal RNA", at positions 587 to 961 of the family's 1831-position model. The record is from RNAcentral.
AGCUCCAAUAGCGUAUAUUAAAGUUGUUGCAGUUAAAAAGCUCGUAGUCGGAUUUCGGGUCGGGCCGAGCGGUCUGCCGAUGGGUAUGCACUGUUUGGCGCGGCCUUCUUUCCGGAGACCGCGGCUACUCUUAACUGAGCGGGCGUGGGAGACGGAUCGUUUACUUUGAAAAAAUCAGAGUGUUUCAAGCAGGCAGCUCGCUCUUGCAUGGAUUAGCAUGGGAUAAUUGAAUAGGACUCUGGUGCUAUUUUGUUGGUUUCGAACACCGGAGUAAUGAUUAACAGGGACAGUCAGGGGCACUCGUAUUCCGUCGAGAGAGGUGAAAUUCUCAGACCAAUGGAAGACGAACCACCCAGGGAUGUUUUCA